AUGACCACUUUGUUGUUCUCAGUGUGUGAUGUUGUUGUUGUUGUUGUUGUUUUGGUCAUGUGUAGGUGCUACAUCACUCUGACCCAGUCUCUCCACCUGACUAAGAGUGGGACCACCAAGGACCACUACAACACACCAAUCCACUAUUACAACACUCCAAUCCACUAUUACAAAACUCCAAUCCACUAUUACAACACUCCAAUCCACUAUUACAACACUCCAAUCCACUAUUACAACACUCCAAUCCACUAUUACAACACUCCAAUCCACUAUUACAACACUCCAAUCCACUAUUACAACACUCCAAUCCACUAUUACAACACUCCAAUCCACUAUUACAACACUCCAAUCCACUAUUACAACACUCCAAUCCACUACUACAACACACCAAUCCACUAUUACAACACUCCAAUCCACUAUUACAACACUCCAAUCCACUAUUACAACACUCCAAUCCACUAUUACAACACUCCAAUCCACUAUUACAACACUCCAAUCCACUAUUACAACACUCCAAUCCACUAUUACAACACUCCAAUCCACUAUUACAACACUCCAAUCCACUAUUACAACACUCCAAUCCACUAUUACAACACACCAAUCCACUAUUACAACACACCAAUCCACUAUUACAACACACCAAUCCACUAUUACAACACUCCAAUCCACUAUUACAACACACCAAUCCACUAUUACAACACACCAAUCCACUAUUACAACACACCAAUCCACUAUUACAACACUCCAAUCCACUAUUACAACACUCCAAUCCACCACUACAACACACCAAUCCACUAUUACAACACACCAAUCCACCACUACAACACACCAAUCCACUAUUACAACACACCAAUCCACCACUACAACACACCAAUCCACUAUUACAACACACCAAUCCACUAUUACAACACACCAAUCCACUAUUACAACACUCCAAUCCACUAUUACAACACACCAAUCCACUAUUACAGCACACCAAUCCACUAUUACAACACACCAAUCCACUACUGCAACACACCAAUCCACUACUGCAACACACCAAUCCACCACUACAACACACCAAUCCACUAUUACAGCACACCAAUCCACUAUUACAGCACACCAAUCCACUACUGCAACACACCAAUCCACCACUACAAUACACCAAUCCACUAUUACAACACACCAAUCCACCACUACAAUACACCAAUCCACUAUUACAAUACACCAAUCCACUAUUACAAUACACCAAUCCACUAUUACAACACACCAAUCCACUAUUACAACACACCAAUCCACUAUUACAACACACCAAUCCACUAG
This 1302-nucleotide long non-coding RNA is filed under the name Oncorhynchus mykiss (rainbow trout). Its description in RNAcentral is "lncRNA (ENSOMYG00000056217.1)". The record is from RNAcentral. Lineage: Eukaryota; Metazoa; Chordata; Actinopteri; Salmoniformes; Salmonidae.